GACGAACGCUGGCGGCGUGCUUAACACAUGCAAGUCGAACGGUGAACGAGGGAGCUUGCUCCCUCCGGAUCAGUGGCGAACGGGUGAGUAACACGUGAGCAAUCUGCCCCGAACUCUGGGAUAAGCGUUGGAAACGACGUCUAAUACCGGAUACGACGCGGGAGGGCAUCCUCUCCGCGUGGAAAGAACUUCGGUUCGGGAUGAGCUCGCGGCCUAUCAGCUUGUUGGUGAGGUAACGGCUCACCAAGGCGACGACGGGUAGCCGGCCUGAGAGGGUGACCGGCCACACUGGGACUGAGACACGGCCCAGACUCCUACGGGAGGCAGCAGCGGGGAAUAUUGCACAAUGGGCGCAAGCCUGAUGCAGCAACGCCGCGUGAGGGACGACGGCCUUCGGGUUGUAAACCUCUUUUAGCAGGGAAGAAGCGAAAGUGACGGUACCUGCAGAAAAAGCACCGGCUAACUACGUG
RNAcentral lists this ribosomal RNA (470 nucleotides) under uncultured bacterium. RNAcentral describes it as "partial 16S ribosomal RNA". It matches the Rfam family "Bacterial small subunit ribosomal RNA", at positions 28 to 507 of the family's 1533-position model. The record is from RNAcentral.